Molecule: non-coding RNA, 771 nt
Organism: Peromyscus maniculatus bairdii (prairie deer mouse)
Lineage: Eukaryota; Metazoa; Chordata; Mammalia; Rodentia; Cricetidae
Source: RefSeq, a predicted model, not a curated record
AGCUACAAAAACAACAACAACCUUCAGAAACCUCCUGGAGUGCUAACACUCAUCGACGACGUGCCAGAGCACUGCAUCGUCUUACCUGUCACCUCCUCUCGUGCAGUCGACCAAAGGAGCAUCAUUAUCGAGCUGCUUAGUGGCCUAAACUGCUGGCCCCUCGUGCAAGGUCCAGCCCAGGAAGGCCCUUCCAUCCUCAGGUGCUAUGGCACACUGAAGUAGGCUUCCCAGUUUGGUACCUAUCUGAAACUGGCAUUUGAUCUCCCAAGGAAACAGAACUCCUCACAGGACCAGAACAGUGUAGGACAAAAUGUCAAUCCUAAACAUCACGGAUCUCCAGACCUUACCUUCCUCCUUUACGAACUGUUAUGACCUGAAGAGAUUCUGGGACUUGCUGUACAUUCUGCACUGAUAAACACUGAUGUGCAUCACUCCAAUAAAUCCUCAAACUACCACCAAGCUCUGUCUUUGCAUACCUGCUGACUGGGGACACUGCACAGAAAUAGAACCAUAGAAUACUGGAUGCUUUCUGCCUUGCUUCCUUUAUAUAUCAACAUGCUUGUGAGGUCUACCAUCUUUGGUGAAUCAACCUUUGUGUCUUAUACAGCACUCUGGAUGUGGAUACUGUGUCAAUCAGUAUAUGUCAACCAUAUGCGGCUAAAAGGAUCCCAGGGAAGAUGGAACCCUGUCUCUCCCGACAGAAAGACCACAACUGUAAAAUCUCCAGAGAUAGCUAUUUGGAAGAUUCUGAAGAGCAAAUGGUAAAUGAAA